RNAcentral lists this unclassified non-coding RNA (153 nucleotides) under uncultured fungus. RNAcentral describes it as "sequence contains ITS1". Lineage: Eukaryota; Fungi. The record is from RNAcentral.
CAGAGUUACAAUACUCCUAAACCCCUGUUUACUUUACCUAUACGUUGCUUCGGCAGGCGGCCCCAGGGAGGGGCCGUUGGGUGCCUGCCGAAGGUAUACCAAACUCUUGUUUUAUAAACCUAAAGCUUCUGAGUUAUACUUUUAAAUAAGUCA